GUAGGGAAUUUUUCGCAAUGGACGAAAGUCUGACGGAGCAAUACCGCGUGAGGGAAGAAUGUUUUCGGACUGUAAACCUCUGUUGUAAAGGAAGAACAUCUGGAUUAGGAAAUGAAUCCAGCUUGACGGUACUUUACCAGAAAGCGACGGCUAACUACGUGCCAGCAGCCGCGGUAAUACGUAGGUCGCGAGCGUUAUCCGGAAUUAUUGGGCGUAAAGAGUUCGUAGGUGGUCAAGCAAGUCUUAUGUGAAAGCCAACGGCUUAACCGUUGAACUGCAUAAGAUACUACUUGACUAGAAUCUAGGAGAGGAAACUGGAAUUCCAUGUGUAGCGGUGGAAUGCGUAGAUAUAUGGAGGAACACCAAUGGCGAAGGCAGGUUUCUGGACUAGUAUUGACACUGAGGAACGAAAGCGUGGGUAGCAAACAGGAUUAGAUACCCUUGUAGUCC
RNAcentral lists this ribosomal RNA (450 nucleotides) under uncultured bacterium. Its description in RNAcentral is "bacterial SSU rRNA". It matches the Rfam family "Bacterial small subunit ribosomal RNA", at positions 354 to 796 of the family's 1533-position model. The record is from RNAcentral.